Molecule: non-coding RNA, 377 nt
Organism: Onychostoma macrolepis
Lineage: Eukaryota; Metazoa; Chordata; Actinopteri; Cypriniformes; Cyprinidae
Source: the annotation of a RefSeq genome assembly
AGUUAGUAAACCUUCCAAACAUGGAGAGAUGCUUUUUACUGAUUCUCAUAAUAGCACCAGGUGUUUUAUCUGACAGCAUUCAACCAGAAGACAAGGAAACUAAAAUUUACAGAAAAGAAGAAGAGCGUGUAACGCUGAGCUGCUCGUAUGAUACCAGCAGCGUUUAUGUCUAUCUCUACUGGUACAGACAGUAUCCUAACAGAGAACCAGAAUAUUUACUGUGGAAAGGUGCUCGAUCAGGAAGCAGUUAUAAGGAUAUACCAGACACUCGGUUUCAGUCGACUACAUCCCAAACAUCCACUGAACUCAUUAUUAAGAGUGUAACUCUGUCAGAUUCAGCUCUCUAUUAUUGUGCUCUAAGAGUAGGAGCCCAGUGA